UUAAAAAGCUCGUAGUUGAACCUUGGUCCUGGCUGACCUGUCCUCCUAAUCGAGCGCACGGGUUCGGUCGGGCCUUUCCUUCUGGGGAUCCCGAUGCCCUUCACUGGGCGUCGUGGGGAACCAGGACUUUUACCUUGAAAAAAUUAGAGUGUUCAAAGCAGGCCUUUGCUCGAAUACAUUAGCAUGGAAUAAUAGAAUAGGACAGAGGUUCUAUUUUGUUGGUUUCUAGGACCGCUGUAAUGAUUAAUAGGGAUAGUCGGGGG
Molecule: ribosomal RNA, 263 nt
Filed under: uncultured Ascomycota
Lineage: Eukaryota; Fungi; Ascomycota
Description: partial 18S ribosomal RNA
Rfam family: Eukaryotic small subunit ribosomal RNA
Source: RNAcentral